AUAGGCCGGCCUUCGGGCCAGAGGAGACAGGUGCCCCCCGGUUGUCGUCAGCUCGUUUCGUGAGAUGUUGGAUAAAGUCCGGUAACGAGCGCAACCUUUGUCCUUAGUUACCAGCACGUAAUGGUGGGCACUUUAAGGAGACUGCCGGUGACAAACCGGAGGAAGGUGGGGAUGACGUCAAGUCAUCAUGGCCCUUACGGCCUGGGCUACACACGUGCUACAAUGGUCGGUACAGAGGGUUGCCAAGCCGCGAGGUGGAGCUAAUCCCAUAAAACCGAUCGUAGUCCGGAUCGCAGUCUGCAACUCGACUGCGUGAAGUCGGAAUCGCUAGUAAUCGCGAAUCAGAAUGUCGCGGUGAAUACGUUCCCGGGCCUUGUACACACCGCCCGUACGGGCGGUGUGUACAUACCAGCCCCUUGGUAAGGUUCUUCGCGUUAAUC
This 440-nucleotide ribosomal RNA is filed under the name uncultured Pseudomonas sp. Its description in RNAcentral is "bacterial SSU rRNA". It matches the Rfam family "Bacterial small subunit ribosomal RNA", at positions 1008 to 1533 of the family's 1533-position model. Lineage: Bacteria; Pseudomonadati; Pseudomonadota; Gammaproteobacteria; Pseudomonadales; Pseudomonadaceae. The record is from RNAcentral.